This 26-nucleotide non-coding RNA is filed under the name Homo sapiens (human). The record is from RNAcentral. Lineage: Eukaryota; Metazoa; Chordata; Mammalia; Primates; Hominidae.
UGAUUUGAUGAAGGUCCUGAACGAGC